AUACGUAGGUGACAAGCGUUAUCCGGAUUUACUGGGCGUAAAGGGCGUGUAGGCGGUCUUGCAAGUCAGAAGUGAAAUUCCUGAGCUCAACUCGGGCGCUGCUUCUGAAACUGCAGGACUUGAGUGCUGGAGGGGAUAGCGGAAUUCCUAGUGGAGCGGUAAAAUGCGCAGAUAUUAGGAAGAACACCGGUGGCGAAGGCGGCUAUCUGGACAGUAACUGGCGCUGAGGCGCGAAAGCGUGGGGAGCAAACAGGAUUAGAUACCCCGGUAGUCCUGGCAGUAAACGAUGUAUGCUGGGUGUGAGACUAGCGAUAGUUUCGUGCCGAAGUUAACGCGAUAAGCAUACCGCCUGGGGAGUACGGUCGCAAGAUUGAAACUUAAAGGAAUUGACGGGG
Molecule: ribosomal RNA, 395 nt
Filed under: uncultured bacterium
Lineage: Bacteria
Description: partial 16S ribosomal RNA
Rfam family: Bacterial small subunit ribosomal RNA
Source: RNAcentral